This is a long non-coding RNA of Cannabis sativa, 534 nucleotides long. RefSeq lists it as uncharacterized. The transcript is spliced from 2 exons. The record is from RefSeq and is a predicted model, not a curated record. Lineage: Eukaryota; Viridiplantae; Streptophyta; Magnoliopsida; Rosales; Cannabaceae.
UUAUUAUUUGAGUGUGUGAAAUGUGAUAAUUAUAUUUUUUUUUACACUUAUAUGCUUGAAAAUGGGAAUUUGGCACUAAAGGCAAUGUGGUAAUUGUGUAUUUUGGGUUAUGAUUCAUUAAAAGGGAAAUAUUAAGCAAAAUGAGAUUUUAUUUCUGCAUUUUACUCCAGCCCUAGCAGCCAGCCUCUCCCUCUCUCAAAAACUCAUUUGUUAGCUUUGAUUUUGUGGUGAAUUGCUUGUGGAAGAAAGCUUAGUUUUGGAGAUUUGGGGAUUUGCUCUUGCUUGGAUUUGAGGAAAGGGUAAAUCUAUCUCUGAUCAGCCAUGAGUAUGGGAGUUGGGCGAUGUAUGUACAUGUUCGUGCCACACUAGACCAAGCGGGUUGGGGUCUACCAGUGUUGAAACUUUUGUAACUCUAUUUUGCCGCUUAGGUCGGUUAAGGAGAAAAGACUUGUAAUAUUUUGUAAAAUAAUUUUUGGGAUCCCGAAAUAUGUAACUUUUGUUUGUAAGGUUAAAAUUAUUACAAGUUUAUUUUCA